AGUUUGAUCCGGCUCAGAUUGAACGCUGGCGGGAUGCUUUACACAUGCAAGUCGAACGGCAGCACGGACUUCGGUCUGGUGCGAGUGGCGAACGGGUGACAAUGUAUCGGAACGCCCAGUAGCGGGGGAUAACUACGAAAGGUAGCUAAUACCGCAUAUUGCCUUCGGGGAAAGUGGGGAUCUUCGGGCCUCGCACUAUUAGGAGCGGCCGAUAUCGGAUUAGCUAGUUGGUGGGGCAAGCAACGGCUCACCAAGGCGACGAUCCGUAGCUGGUUUGAGAGGACGACCACCACAUCACUGGGACUGGAGAUGAUUGCCCAGACUCCUACGGAGGCAGCAGGGGAAUUAGACAUGAAAUUCCCUGAUCCGGCCAUCCGCAAGAGAUGAAGGCCUCGGGUUGUAAAGCACUUUUGGCAGGAAAGAAACGGCACGAUAAUACCCCGUGCAACUGACGGUACCUGCAAGAAUAAGCACCGGCCACCAUGCCAGCAGCCGCGGUAAUAAGUAGGUGCCGUUAAUCGGAAUUACCGGGCGUAAAGCAGCAGGCGGUUCGGUGAAAGAUGGAAAUCCUGAGAGCUUAAUUUUGAACUGCAUUUUAACUUUGUCGAGCUAGAGUGUCAGAGGGAGGUAGCGUGUAGCAAGUGAGAAUGGCGUGAUAUGCGGAGGAACACCGAUGGCGAAGGCAGCCUUCCUGGGAUAACACUGACGCUCAUGCACGAAAGCGUGGGAUAAACAGGAUUAGAUAAUUGGUAGUCCACGCCCUAAACGAUGUCAACUAGCUGUUGGGGCCUUCGGCCUUGUAGCAGCCGUCAUGCGGAAGUUUAACCGCCUGGGGAGUACGGUCGCAAGAUUAAACCUAAAGAAUUGACGGGGACCUCCGCAAGCGGUGGAUGAUGUGGAUUAAUUCGAUGCAACGCGAAAAACCUUACCUACCCUUGGAGAUAUGUCUCGGAAUCCGAAGAGAUUUGGGAGUGCUCGCAAGAGAACCGGAACACAGGUGCUGCAUGGCUGUCGUCAGUCGUGUCGAGAUGUUGGGUUAAGUCCUGCAACGAGCGCAACCUUGUCAUUAGUUGGCUGGCUACGAAAGGGCACUCCAAUGAGACUGCCGGUGACAAACCGGAGGAAGGUGGGGAUGACGUCAAGUCCUCAUGGCCCUGGCGGGUAGGGCUUCACACGUCAUACAAUGGUCGACAGAGGGUCGCCAACCCGCGAGGGGAGCCAACCCCAGAAACCCGAUCGUAGUCCGGAUCGCAGUCUGCGCAACUCGACUGCGUGAAGUCGGAAUCGCUAGUAAUCGCGGAUCAGCAUGUCGCGGUGAAUAGCGCGUUCCCGGUCUUGUACACACCGCCCGUCACACCAUGGAGUGGGUUUUACCAGGAAGUAGUUAGCUCAAUCGUAAGGAGGGUAGCGAUUACCACGGUAGGAUCUGCGACUGGGUGAAGUCGCAACGGGUGUACUC
Molecule: ribosomal RNA, 1459 nt
Filed under: uncultured Bordetella sp.
Lineage: Bacteria; Pseudomonadati; Pseudomonadota; Betaproteobacteria; Burkholderiales; Alcaligenaceae
Description: partial 16S-23S ribosomal RNA intergenic spacer
Rfam family: Bacterial small subunit ribosomal RNA
Source: RNAcentral